This 372-nucleotide ribosomal RNA is filed under the name uncultured organism. RNAcentral describes it as "bacterial SSU rRNA". It matches the Rfam family "Bacterial small subunit ribosomal RNA", at positions 526 to 896 of the family's 1533-position model. The record is from RNAcentral.
CGUAGGGUCCAAGCGUUAUCCGGAAUCACUGGGCGUAAAGCGUGCGUAGGUGGCGCGUUAAGUGAGAUGUUAAAUCGUGGGGCUCAACCCUGUCGAUGCAUCUCAUACUGGCGUGCUAGAGGACAGCAGAGGCAAGUGGAAUUUGUAGUGUAGCAGUGAAAUGCGUAGAUAUUACAAGGAACACCAAUGGCGAAGGCAGCUUGCUGGGCUACUCCUGACACUGAGGUACGAAAGCGUGGGGAGCGAACAGGAUUAGAUACCCUGGUAGUCCACGCCGUAAACGAUGCAUACUAGACGUAUGGGGUAUCGACCCCCUGUGCGUCGAAGCUAACGCGAUAAGUAUGCCGCCUGGGAAGUACGGCCGCAAGGCUA